RNAcentral lists this ribosomal RNA (497 nucleotides) under uncultured bacterium. Its description in RNAcentral is "partial 16S ribosomal RNA". It matches the Rfam family "Bacterial small subunit ribosomal RNA", at positions 28 to 507 of the family's 1533-position model. The record is from RNAcentral.
GAUGAACGCUGGCGGCGUGCCUAAUACAUGCAAGUCGAGCGAACUUUUGGGAGCUUUCUCCCUCUAGUUAUCGGCGGACGGGUGAGUAACACGUGUGUAACCUGCCUGUAAGACUGGGAUAACUUCUGGAAACCGGAGCUCAUACCGGAUAACAUUUAAUACCACAUGGCCUUCAAUUAAAAAAUGGCUUUUAGCUACCACUUACAGAUGGACCCGCGCCGCAUUAGCUAGUUGGUAAGGUAACGGCUUACCAAGGCAACGAUGCGUAGCCGACCUGAGAGGUGAACCGGCAACCUGGGAAUGGGACACGGGCCCGAAUUCCACGGGGGGGAAGCAGAGGGGAUCUUUCGGCAAGGGGGAAAGGCUGGAGGGAGCACGGCGGGGGGGGGGAGGAGGGUCUUGGGUUGGAAAGCUCCGUUGUUAGGGAAGAAAAAGAAGCGUACGAAUCGGGGGAUAUCUUGACGGUACCUAAUCAGAAAGCCACGGCUAACUACGUG